CAAUAAUAUUAGGUUUCACUUUUUUUCUGAUCCUGCAGCUUCUUGCCAUGUUUCCACUCCCCUGAGGUUGCCAUUUUCUAGCACAUGCUCUCCAGAAUGGAUCCUAGGGGUAUUAAUGUGAAGCUAUUAGCUGACAGCAUUUUGAACCUUUCAAAAAUAGUUGAGAAUUGGUCCUCUACAAGCUCCAACACUGGGCCUCUAGGGUCACAUCAUUUAACAAAACAAGGACACCGCAAUUCUGCUACUGAACAGACAUUUCAACUUCCAACAAAACCCAGCCAAGUUAAUUCUACUAUUAAUCAGAUGGAACCUAUUUUGAAAUCCUAGAUUGUAAACAACUUGCAGACGAAGAGGUUGCAUUUAUAAAAAAACUGAAACCCAGCCACAUCCUCGCAUUUGCCACGGGAAGUGGAAAUAUACCCGCUCUAGGAUUUUCUCCAAGGCCACGAAUAUCGUUCAUUCAUGAUGAGGAUCGUGUUUAUCCAAUUGCACACACAUGCAACAAUGAGCUUCAGUUGUUUGUCAAUGCCAAAACAACCAAGGAUAAUAAUUUUUUAUAUUUCUUAUUGACUGCUCUUAUGAAUGGGGCAGUAUUUAGCACUGUCUAAUUAAAAAUUUAAAGCACAGUCAUUGGUCUGUAGCCUAUCAAGCAAUUGUAUCCCAUUCAGAACUGUUAAAAAGAAAUAUGAAAAAUUAUUAUCUUUUGUUGUAUAUUUUCUGUUCAUUUAAGGAGGAACUAUCAUGAAUUCUGAAUAGAUAAAAAAUAGUUUAUGUAAAAAGGACUUAAUUUUCUACCAUUGUGAAGAUAACAGAUGAAGAUCACUGCAUCAAGAGCAGCAUUCCUUCCUCACUUCUGGCAAGCUGCCAAAAUCAUUGUUUCUCCAAGUUAUUUAACCAGUAGUAGGAGUGCUUAUGCUAACAAAUACUGUCUCUUUUUUUCAUCCAUUCCUCGUGAAGUCAUCAGUAAGUGCUGUAUGUGUUAUAAUCAUUGUGCAAGGCACAGUGCUGCCGUGCAUUCAAGGGAGUGUGCAUGAGAAUGUAAACACAGGAAUAUUGUUUACAGCACAGUGGGGUCUUCUUUUCACUAUGCCCUACACAAUAUUAAUAAGAUAUACAGCCUUUACUAUUGACUUUACAUGGAUUCUCUGCAAAGCAUGGCUGAAAAAAGAGACAGGGUUUGUUAGUACAAUCACUCCAAUUAUUAGAAGAGUAAUAGAGUGUGCAACAAUGAUUUUGACAGCCUGCCAGAAGUGAGGAAGGAACAUUGCAGAAAGCUAUGAAUUCAGUGAGCUUCACAACAAUACAAAAUUAAAAAACAUGUUUAAGGAAUGAUUUCUUUUUACAGAAACUAUUAAGGUAAAUGGUCCAUGGGGGAGUUUAAUCACCAGCCAUAAAUCUCUGCUUCUGCAGGUGACUAAUUUCCUCCAAAUGCUUUCCCACUUGUAAUAAAGUAAAUCGCUGGUGGUCAAACCAAGAGUCGCUUUGGUCUUGCGACUUUAGAAGACUAAAGGAACACAUGCUUCAGUCAUCGAUUCACCAUGCUGUUGGUUAGCAUUUGUAGGAGAUUAGUUGCCUGCAGAGAUUCAUUACUAGUGAUUAAACUCCUUGUGGGCCAUUCGGUUAUACUUGGCACUAAAAAUUCAUAAUAGUUCCCCUUUAAUGUUUAGUGUGUGUCACAGGCAGUUUUCAUUGUUUCUACACUGCAAGAAAAUGGUUGUUUUUUUUAUAUUUGCUUGCACUUCAAGAAAUACUGUACACUUGUUUUUCAUAUUUGCGUGCACUGCAAGAAAUAAACUUGUGUGUGUUCAUAUUUACUUGCACUGCAAGAAAUACACUUGUUGUUUCACAUUUGCUUAAACUUGUUUUUUCAUAGUUACUUGCACUGCAAGAAAUAAACUUUUGUGUUUUUA
Xenopus laevis (African clawed frog) is the source of this 1910-nucleotide long non-coding RNA. RefSeq lists it as uncharacterized. Lineage: Eukaryota; Metazoa; Chordata; Amphibia; Anura; Pipidae. The record is from RefSeq and is a predicted model, not a curated record. The transcript has 5 exons.